RNAcentral lists this ribosomal RNA (405 nucleotides) under uncultured radiolarian. RNAcentral describes it as "bacterial SSU rRNA". It matches the Rfam family "Eukaryotic small subunit ribosomal RNA", at positions 1240 to 1661 of the family's 1831-position model. The record is from RNAcentral.
UUGACAGAUUGACAGCUCUUUCUUAAUUCUGCGGAUUGUGGUGCAUGGCCGUUCUUAGUUGGUGGAGUGAUUUGUCUGGUUAAUUCUGCUAACGAACGAGACGAUCGACUGUUAAUUCGCGUAAAAACUGAUUUCAUGAUUUUGCUUCUUUUAAAAACUAGAUUUGCAUAAAAAGCUGGAAGUUGGUAGCAAUAACAGGUCUGUGAUGCCCUUACACGUUCUGGGUAGCGCACGGGCUACAAUAGGAGAAUUACUAUGCUUAAUAUCUUAAUUCGAGAUGAGCUGAGAAAUCAUGAAACUUAUCUAUAGUUGGGGUUACACAUUGAAAUUAUUAUGUACUAACCAGGAAUGUCUAGUAAAUUUAAGUCAUUAACGUUCUUUGAAUGCGUCCCUGCCCCUUUGUAA